UACGUAGGGGGCAAGCGUUGUCCGGAUUUAUUGGGCGUAAAGAGCGUGUAGGCGGCCAUACAGGUCCGUUGUGAAAACUGGAGGCUUAACCUCCAGACGUCGAUGGAAACCGUAUGGCUAGAGUCCGGAAGAGGAGAGUGGAAUUCCUGGUGUAGCGGUGAAAUGCGCAGAUAUCAGGAAGAACACCCGUGGCGAAGGCGGCUCUCUGGGACGGUACUGACGCUGAGGCACGAAAGCGUGGGGAGCAAACAGG
This 253-nucleotide ribosomal RNA is filed under the name uncultured bacterium. RNAcentral describes it as "partial 16S ribosomal RNA". It matches the Rfam family "Bacterial small subunit ribosomal RNA", at positions 524 to 776 of the family's 1533-position model. The record is from RNAcentral.